RNAcentral lists this ribosomal RNA (468 nucleotides) under uncultured bacterium. Its description in RNAcentral is "partial 16S ribosomal RNA". It matches the Rfam family "Bacterial small subunit ribosomal RNA", at positions 28 to 507 of the family's 1533-position model. The record is from RNAcentral.
GACGAACGCUGGCGGCGUGCUUAACACAUGCAAGUCGAACGGAAAGGCCCUGCUUUUGUGGGGUGCUCGAGUGGCGAACGGGUGAGUAACACGUGAGUAACCUGCCCUUGACUUUGGGAUAACUUCAGGAAACUGGGGCUAAUACCGGAUAGGAGCUCCUGCUGCAUGGUGGGGGUUAGAAAGUUUCGGCGGUUGGGGAUGGACUCGCGGCUUAUCAGCUUGUUGGUGGGGUAGUGGCUUACCAAGGCUUUGACGGGUAGCCGGCCUGAGAGGGUGACCGGCCACAUUGGGACUGAGAUACGGCCCAGGCUCCUACGGGAGGCAGCAGUGGGGAAUAUUGCACAAUGGGCGGAAGCCUGAUGCAGCAACGCCGCGUGCGGGAUGACGGCCUUCGGGUUGUAAACCGCUUUCGCCUGUGACGAAGCGUGAGUGACGGUAAUGGGUAAAGAAGCACCGGCUAACUACGUG